This 253-nucleotide ribosomal RNA is filed under the name uncultured bacterium. Its description in RNAcentral is "partial 16S ribosomal RNA". It matches the Rfam family "Bacterial small subunit ribosomal RNA", at positions 524 to 776 of the family's 1533-position model. The record is from RNAcentral.
UACGUAGGUGGCAAGCGUUGUCCGGAUUUACUGGGCGUAAAGGAUGCGUAGGCGGACAUUUAAGUCAGAUGUGGAAUACCCGAGCUUAACUUGGGUGCUGCAUUUGAAACUGGGUGUCUAGAGUGCAGGAGAGGUAAGUGGAAUUCCUAGUGUAGCGGUGAAAUGCGUAGAGAUUAGGAAGAACACCAGUGGCGAAGGCGACUUACUGGACUGUAACUGACGCUGAGGCAUGAAAGCGUGGGGAGCAAACAGG